This 1323-nucleotide long non-coding RNA is filed under the name Nicotiana tabacum (common tobacco). RNAcentral describes it as "long non-coding RNA (NTAB_LNC008566)". Lineage: Eukaryota; Viridiplantae; Streptophyta; Magnoliopsida; Solanales; Solanaceae. The record is from RNAcentral.
CUUGGGUUCUUUGUCCAUUCUUUAAGAAUUUGCCAAAUUUUAGCAAAUAUCAAGUGAAUUUCAAAUGCCCAAGAACGUGAGAGCGCCCUGGAGCAGUACAAAUCUUAACAAAAAAUCAAAUGAACUUCCUUGCUCAUAAAAACGUGAAAAACUCCCUGGAGCUUUGAGAUUAGAAAGGAAACGUUAGCUUUCCUUGUCUUGAAAGCAUUAUAUCAUGUUUAGCCAUUUCAAGCUUCAACAAAAAUGUUUUCCAACCAAGGAAAAAUCCAACGAGAAUAUUAUACGGAUUUUUUCCUACUCCAGGUAUGUUAAGGCUAAGCUCUUCCUUCAUUUUACAUGACCUCGUAACUACAAAAGUUUGAUAAUGAGCCAUAAAGAAAAAUUCAUAUCCAGAAAUUUACGUAUAUUUUGCUAGUCUCGCAAAUUACGUAUAUUUUUCUAGUUUUGUAAGUUACAAUAUUCUCCUUAGUGGGACUUCAUAUUCAAUUGAGUAUUUUCUUCUUCCAGUCAAGAGAGCAGAGAAUUUACAUAUAUACAGUAUUAAAAGUAUUUUCAUUACCAUCGAGCUAUAAUCGAUGGGCAGGCCCCUAUUGGGCAACCUCUGAUCAGAUGGUAAGUUAUAUAACGAUCCUACUGUGACCGAGCGCAUAUGAGCGAUCCUAGUUGGUCGAGAUACAUAGCCUAGUAUGGCCGAGCACCUAUGAGCGAGCCUACUACGGUAGAGGAUUUAUAUAUAUACCGAACCUUAUAGGGCCGGACAACUAUUUUACUUACUAUAUUGAGAGAAUUGAGUGUCAGUAGGUAAGCAUAUCUUCAAAUUAUCUUUGACUUCCAGUUACUUAUAGUAAUUAUAUUAUCAAUUCAGUUUCAGCUUUUAGUAUAUUGCCUUACAUACUCAGUACAUUAUUUCGUACUGACGUCCCUUUCCUGGGGGUGCUGCAUUUCAUGUGUGCAGGUUCAGACAGACAGGCGGGUAGACCUCCUCAUUAAGUGUUACCCGAGUUUAGCUUGAUUGGUAAGCUCCAUGCCUUUCGGAGUUGCCGGGUCUAGAGCUUUAUGUACAUCUUGUGUAUAUAUGUAUAUAUGGUAUGAAUAGGUCGGGGAGCUAUUUUCGAUCACAAUGUAUCUACUAGUAGAGACUUGUAGGCAUUUCCUGUUAGUUAGUGCAAUAUGUUGGGCUUGUAGACCCUGUAUGUAUAUUUGGUAGGUUUGUUAGUUGCAAUAAUUACGAUGGCCUUGUCGGCGCAGCUUUAUAUUGAUAUUUAGUUAGCAUUCGCAGUUUGUCUUGCAACUGGUGCAUGACCAAAGUAUGACAUCAUAUGU